GACAGAGGGUGCAAACGUUGUUCGGAAUUACUGGGCGUAAAGCGCGUGUAGGCGGCUAUCGCAAGUCGGGUGUGAAAGCCCUGGGCUCAACCUAGGAAGUGCACUCGAAACUGCGAAGCUUGAAGUCUGGAGAGGAACGCGGAAUUCUCGGUGUAGAGGUGAAAUUCGUAGAUAUCGAGAGGAACACCGGUGGCGAAGGCGGCGUUCUGGACAGCACUUGACGCUGAGACGCGAAAGCGUGGGGAGCAAACAGG
RNAcentral lists this ribosomal RNA (254 nucleotides) under uncultured prokaryote. Its description in RNAcentral is "partial 16S ribosomal RNA". It matches the Rfam family "Bacterial small subunit ribosomal RNA", at positions 524 to 776 of the family's 1533-position model. The record is from RNAcentral.